GCGGAGAGCCUCCGCAGGAGUCCAUGAAACACUGAGCGAAGGGGCGCCCCAGGGAGGGCACGACCCAAGACCCCUCCCUCCCGAAGACGUCUCACGGGGAGCCUCUACACUGCUCCUCGCUUCCCCAGCUCUGAUCGUAGCCAUGGCAACGCAUGAGGAGGCUGGAUGCCGGACAGGGCGGCGGAGGGCUCCCCAAACACACCCAACUACAGGAGGAUUCGCGCUGAGGACGAAGCCCGAACGCCAACGCCAACGGGAUGUCCUGGGCGCUCAGCUGCCAUCAGCUGUGCUUCCUCAGGCCACCGGCCACGGCUC
This 315-nucleotide long non-coding RNA is filed under the name Homo sapiens (human). RNAcentral's name for it is "HSALNT0254941". The record is from RNAcentral. Lineage: Eukaryota; Metazoa; Chordata; Mammalia; Primates; Hominidae.